Molecule: long non-coding RNA, 991 nt
Organism: Styela clava
Lineage: Eukaryota; Metazoa; Chordata; Ascidiacea; Stolidobranchia; Styelidae
Source: RefSeq, a predicted model, not a curated record
GGUUGACGUUUUGGGUACUUUUUUUGGCACGACAAAGAGAUCUACUACAUGGUUCGGUAAUUGUGUGAAACAUUGUUGUACUAAAAAACAUCGGCCUUAGACUGAAGAAAAAACAUUUGGAAACACAUGAAGACAGUCGCCACAUAAAGAAUGAAACAAUAAAUGAAAUUGAAACUGAUUUUUUAUUUCCGAAAACGAUAGAAAUUCCAAAAAGAAAACAAAGAAAUCCUAUCGGAAGAACAAAUAUUUCACUCGACUUCCACAUUCGAAAACAGUGGCAGUGAAUGCGAUUCUUUGACAAUGUCAGUUCAGAGGAAGGAUUUGUAAGGCCCAGUUUGGGUAUUCACUGACGGACCAAUUGCUUUGCAAUUUUUAGGCUCAAAAUUGAUUUUUUUGCUAGAAAGCUAUUACUUUGAUUUGUUCCUAAAUUUUCUGUGCGAUCUGAUAUUUCAACUAAAAUGCGCUGUAUAAUUUUUAGUUAUGGUACACGUUUCUAUGAUAUCGUGAUGGCUGUCUUCCACUUUUUAUGACACCGUGACGGAUGAUACCGGUAGUCUACUGGGACAGAUUGCACACUACCCAUACCUAUACUAAUGCGGUUUAAAUUUGCGUAACUGAGACUAUAUAUAUGCAAGUCUCAAAUGUUCCGAGUAUCCUGUGUUAAUUGUGCAUUUAUUAUGUGAAACUGCGCUGCAUGUUAUUUCUUACUUCUUUUUGUUUCUUUCUUUGCUUCUGUUUUCUUUUUUAUUAUUUCACUUUCGUCCGAGUUAGUGUCAGUCAGAGAUGCAACGUCGAAAUCGUUACGCAUAUAUCUAAAUCAGCAUCAGAUUGAAAGUAGAGGCAAAAGGCCUUAAGCUGGCUAUGGUAAUACCGUAAAAUACUUUGACAAUACUUGGACGACGAGGCGCCAUUAUUGGGAUUGAAACACACUCAUUGCGAUUAUUAAAAUACUCAUUUAACCUGUAAAUAGGUAAACCGAAAAACUUUUGAC